Molecule: long non-coding RNA, 9038 nt
Organism: Mus musculus (house mouse)
Lineage: Eukaryota; Metazoa; Chordata; Mammalia; Rodentia; Muridae
Product: predicted gene, 48914
Exons: 3
Source: RefSeq, a predicted model, not a curated record
AUGAUGAUAAUGGACUGAACCUCAGAACCAAGUCAGGACACUGACACAGUGAGCUGAGCUCUGGACUGAGCUGGCCCAGGACUGGGGUUACUGGAUCCACGUCACCUCCAACUGCUGCCGUUCAAGAAUAGCCUAUACAAACAAUCCUGGAAUAAGAUGGGACAUGUUGAGUGUGUUUGAGGCCUGCAGAGGCCUUUCUUCUACCUCAGAAAAGGAGCCAGGAUACAAGAGAUGCUGGAAGACUUAAGUGUAAAGCUCAGCCCUGUCACUGAGUCACCCGGGUCACUUCCUGGCAUGAAAUCAAGGCAUAAGCCCCAUCAGAAAUACCUGCUGUGCCCGUGGAGGGGGAUAAAGGUGUGUAACUGUCCUACACGCUGCUGUUUUCAGUCAUUGUGAUCUGAACACUCCUGUUAUGAGUGGGCGGCGACUGCGCAGUGGCUUUUGUUUUGAUGAACUGUGCUUUUCUUUGCCAUUCCUGAGACUAGCGUAGUCUCCCUGACUCUGAAGACCAGCAACAAUUUAUGAUAUGUGUGAGUCAUCGUGGGAGAGUUACAGAGGAAGAGCAGAAGUCACCCUUGGGUCACAGUCCAAUAGCAUUCAAAGGGAUGAGCAAAGCCUGCGGUGACUGCUGGAGCAGUCUGGAUGCAAAUCUGUAUGCUACCCAAAUGCCAAAGGCUCUCCUUGUCCCGACCGGCUGGUGCUGGCUUUACUGAGACUGUGUCAUAUGCUCUGCUGAGGACAUAGUGCCUGCUUGUGACUUCUCAUGGUCUGCAUAAUAGAGACAGGUAAAUGGGAAAGGAAGUUUCAAGUUGAUGUCAGGUCUGACGGCAAGUGCAGGGCUCAGGGACUGAGAAACAAGAAUCUCAUCGCCUGUGAUUAAAACCCACAGAACACCAGGCAAGAGAAACAAGAAAGAACAGUUGGCCUUCAGUGAAACUAGAGAUGAUACACUUGGAACAAUAAAAAUGACCCCGCUUCAGGCUGGAGUUGUACAUCAGUGGUGGAGCGAUUACCCACCUAGCAGGGCAAGCACCGGGGCACCAUCCCCAGCAGGGAGAAAAAAGUUUUCACAACGACAUCAGACAUUUACACAAGGGUCUAGUCCUUAAACCUAAGUUGAAAAGCCUUUCUACAAGCAAGGACUGACUUCUGAUUCUAGUUUAGUUGCUCUCUCUGCUUGUGAGGCCCCAGCAGGCCUGCUGGUUUCUUUAGGAUCUAUUUUCCCAUGUAGAGGCAGAGGUAGAGGUAGAGAUAGAGGUAGAGGUAGAGGUAGAGGUAGAGGUAGAGGUAGAGGUAGAGGUAGAGGUAGAGGUAGAGGUAGAGGUAGAGGUAGAGGUAGAGGUAGAGGUAGAGGUAGGGGGUGUGGAAAGAUGGCUUAGUUGGUAAGAGUACUGGCUGCUCCUGUACAAGACCAGAGUUUGAUUUUCAGCACCCACAUCAGAUGACUCAACUGCCUGCAACUCUAGCUACAGGGGAUCUGACAGCCUCUUCAGCCUCCAGGAGCACUCUCUCACACGCACACUUGUACAUACACACAUGCACACAAUUUUUUUUUAAAAAACCUUAAAAAGCAAAAACAGAUUUCUCCAAGCUUUAUAAGGUCUCAAACUCGGUCUGAGCUACAGUCCUUCAAACGCUCCCAGAGGCCACCUCCACGGCGUGACAUUUAUCACCUUCUAAUGAGCACUCUGCUCCUGUGUCCUGGGUUCUGGAUCUGCAGACUCACCAACUGUCAAUCAAAAGCACUCCGAAUGGCUGCAUCAUUGGCUCUGUGGUCAGCCCUGGGAACCAGAGAUUAAAAGGCUAUCAGAGCCGGGCAGUGGUGGCGCAUGCCUUUAAUCCCAGCACUCGGGAGGUAGAGGCAGGUGGAUUUCUGAGUUUGAGGCCAGCCUGGUCUACAAAGUGAGUUCCAGGACAGCCAAGAAACCCUGUCUCAAAAAACCAAAAAAAAAAAAAAAAAAAAGUCCGACAGAGUUUCUGUUGAAGCACACAGGUGAGAAGAAAGGUAUCGUUUCAUCACCCAAAAUAUGGCAGUGGCAUAUUUUGUGCAAGAGACUGUUAGAAAUGCAGCCUGAGGCUUGAGAUGAGAACCUGGUUUUUGUGUUCUAGACACAUUGCUCCUCAUGGUGCAGGACUGUGGGAAGAUUGGGGUCGAUAGAAGGCUGUCCAUGUCUGAGGUCAGGGAAGGCGUCCCCAGGGAAGCCACCCCUGGAUAGUCUUGUAAGAUGCCUGGGAACUUACUGGUUUGAGACAGAGAGAAAGGAGACCCUAAGCAGGGGAAGGGGCCGCGUGAGACUGGAGAGUAUGGAGAGAAGAGCUGGCUUUUGAACCUAUCUAUCUACUAUAUUAAGGAAUUUAAGUUUCUUUCCUUUCCUGAGCGCAGGCCAGGCAGCGCAUGACCGAUGUGCUAAUGACCUGGUUCAGAGUGGAAUUAUGUUUUCAAGGAAGAAAAAAAAAAUCAGUAAAGACCAGUUCCCUCCAGGUUUGCUCCAGCAGGUGGAAAGGUCUGAGACUUUGAAGGGAAACACACACACACACACACACACACACUCCAACACAAGGCAAGGAAAAUGAGAAAGGCCUAAACAUUAUGAUAAAAUACAGUGGUAAUUUUUCUUGGAGGCAAAGUAGCAACUGUUUAACCCUUCUCACAGAUUGAAAAGCAGAGCAGACAGAGGCCUGUCUAGCACUAGCUGGAAUCAGUUCUGAUGUGAGACUCAAGGUCAGUUCUGGUGUGUGUAAGGCAGUGGCCUGCACCCUGGAUGCUGUCUGAGUGUGAGUUCCCUCCCCGUGCAGGUCCAGGACUUCGUUCAUCCCCUGGCUGGAUAGAUCCUCUCAUUGUUGAGCUAGAGGAAGCCAGGGGUUUUAAAGAAAGGCAGAGGACAUUAGUCAUGUUCUGCUAUUAUAGCACUAUUGAUUUCCUAAGUACGUGUCUCUGUGUGGAAUAAUACAGCCAUCCAGUCCAGCAUGGGUAACUCAGAGACUGCCCUUCUGAGAGAUUAACGACCAACACCUGCCUGAGCCUCACUGCAGCACACCCUUGUCGGGCUGAGGAAAGCUUAUAUAAUCCCUCAAGACUUAAUGGCUUCGCCCGCUCUUGGUUCCUUGCUUUUAGUUGACUUUUUAAGCCAUCCAUUUAUAGGGUAGAUUAAUACCACUGAGCUGUGAGGUUGGUGAAGAUAGAUUGCCCACACGGAGACUCCGCCUACUUCCUAGCCUCCAGUCACCUUCCCACACCUCUGCCAGUGAGUAUCCCUAGGUUCCCUCCUUAGGGAGGAGAAUUCAGAUGCACUGUCCCACCUGCCCAUGGAGCCUCUUUGUGAGAAAAUGCUGUUCUCCAAAACUGGCCAUGGCAGUGAUCUGGGCAUGUGCAUAGUGGGCAAACUAUAGACUUCCCAGGGGCAAUUCAGCCAUCGGGAGAAGUAGGAACAGUGAUUAUGGACUAAAAAGUGGAGUGUUUGUCAUUAGGACGAAAGUUCACUGCAGUGUGCACAAGGACAAAAAGAGAGAGGAAAGGGGGAAGGAAAAGUGGUUGGAAAAGAGGAGGCUAGAUGCUGGCUCCUCCCCCGACUCUCAGUACUGUUAGUACGUGUAGUACCUUUAAGGUCCUUUGUCCAGGGCGCAUGGCUUGCAUGGUGGUCCCUCUCUUUGACAUGGGGGCUGAGCAAUGCUAUCCCUUUCUAUGGAAGGAAUAUCUGGAUUGGCAGGGUUCUGGGGACCACGUGGCUGUGUGUGGCUCUGGAUCAAAUGCGAAGAACAAAGCUGCUUUUGUAUGCAUUUAAAACAAUUAACUAAGAGAAACAGAGGUCAGAGUGACAUCGAAAACAUCCCGAGUUCCAGGAAGGGAACAUUCUGGUACAGAUGAAUUAGUGACGCAUCGGGGUCAGGAAACCUAACGCAUACCAAGCAGAAGAGAUGAAAAGGGAACCAAACGAAUUGUAGAGCAGCAGGACCUGACGGGCAGAGGGGCCGGGCUUCUCAUAACAAGGCCAAUGCUACCAGAGCCGGGAUUUUGACUUCUGAAGGAUUUUCUCUUGUAAACAUGCUAUAUUGAGAGGCUAUGACAUCGUGUUCUAAUUAAAGCAGUUUUUAAAGUUCUUUAAAGCAGAGUCUUAUUUCUUAUUUUCUUUUAUUUGUAUGCAGUAGCUAGCCCUUCCAGUAUUGAAAGGGAGCAUACUCGUCGUCUUCCUGACCAUACCAGAAAGGCUUUUAGUCCCUCCCACUGAAUAUCACCUAACACUUUUUGUGUAUGUUACCAAGGUAGGAACCUUCCCGUCUAGUCCUAGUUUCCCGAAGGUUUAAAUCGUGAACGGAAACUGGAUUUUCCCGGAUGCCUUUUCUGUGUCUAUUGAUGUGAUGGUAUUUUCCUCCUUCUGGCAGCGCUAGAGACCAAACUCAGGGCCCCGCAAUAUGGAAGGCUAUAUGCCCCGCCUCUAUUUUAUUUAGACUGUUAAUGUGAUGGCUUGAUUAUACGAAUUAAAAAAAAAAAUACUACCCAGCCUUAUAUAUCUGGGAUAGAUUCCAUUUGGUAAUGAUGUACAUCUAAAAUUUAUGCUGUUGGACUUAAGUAGCUAACUCUCUGUUCAAAACUUUUACUUUUAAGUCAAGAGAUACUGGUCUAUAAUUUGUUUUCUUUAAAGGUGUUGCUUGGUUUUGUUGUUGAGGGUAGUGUUUACCUUAUAGCAUGAGCUAGGUGAGUUCCCUUCUACUCUCCAAAACACACUCUCGACAGUUGCUUUAAGACCUUCAUUUCAUAGGAUUCCUUAGGAAUCAUGGUGUGGGAGCUUUCUGUUUGGAAGGUCAUUAGCUACUGAUUUACUGAUUUCUUCCUGUAAUUUGUGGCUGAUGCUUUUCAAAUAUAGGUCCAUUUCUUUUAAUGUAUCAAAUUUGUGAGCAUUAGGUUCCCAAUCCUCGAUUAUUAUAUUAUGUCUCAGGAUAUGCAGUGAUACCCACUUCUCAUUUCCAAUAGUAACGAUAAAAUGUACCUUUUUUUCCCCCCAUAGCUGAAACAAAGGCUUAUUUGUUCGAUUAAUCAUUUUGAACAGCCUUUGGGUUUUUUUCCUGCCCUUUAGUGUUGCAUUUUACCAGUUUGUGUGAUGUGGAAACUUUACAUCUAUUUGCUUUCUGCCCUCAAAUAUUUAUAUCUGAGUCAUUGCUUCAUUUCCCCUUCAUAUAAUAAAGUCACCUUUAACUUUGAUAAACAUUUGAAAAAUCUUGAGGUUUGUCAUACCUUUAUUUCAACUACAUUUCUUUUCUGAUCUUCCAAUAUCAUCAUAAUCUUCUCCUCCUCCUUUUUUUUUUUUUUUUUUUUUAAACAUUUCAUUUCUUUUAAGAGCUUUGGCCAGGCUAUUAGUCAGGUCAGCUGCCAACAGGUUCUCUUGGCUUUCCUGCGUCCAAGACUGUCAUGGUGCUCUCUCCCACUGAAUUAUGUUCUCGCUGAAUUCUUUUGGCGACCGUGCAGUCUGCAGCACUCCCUUCCCAUCUUUAUGGAUUCUGAUAAAUCCAGUCAUUUGAACUGUUUGUCCUGGAAUAUGUCCUUGCUCAUUACUUUCAAGAUUUUUUUUUCUUUAGUUCUUGGAAGUUACCUUGCAUUCUGGGGCAUUUUGUUUGAGCUUGACAAGUUUCAUAUGUCAUUCGCCAAAUUGGGAAAUGUAUAGAAAUUUUUUCUCUGAACACUUUUAACCACAUCUUCUUUCUCAUUUCCUUCUGCAUGCAGCACUUCCCAGCUGUUGGUUUCUCUAGUGAGAGCAGAGUUUACAAAGUAACAAGAAUAUCCACAGGAACCCCUGUUGUUGACUCCCAGGGUCUCUAGCUAGUCUGCCCCUUUCCUUCUACUUCUUUCAGUGUACCAGUUUUGUUUUUGUACUUAAACACACACACACACACACACACACACACACACACACACACACACACACACACACACACACGUCCAUGGGUCUUAUCUGUAUUUAACCAGGAUAAUGACAAUUAUGUCUAAGUGCUCUUUUAAAUUAGUCCUCUAUUAUGCAUGUGUUAUUAUGUGUGUGUUAUUGUGGGCACAUCUUUUUAAGAUGUAUUGAUUACAGAUGAAAUGUCUCAGAUGAACUCCCUAAUUUAGAGGUAGGUAGUAGGCAGGAAUGUAGUAAAGGUGAAAUGGGGGAUAAAUUAAUCAUCAGAAAAGAUGGUGGAUAUACUUACGUUCAUUUCUCUAGCUUUUGGGUAUGUGUAAAAUACACACCCAAGCUUUUCUAACUACUCACUCUAACUGACAUGACAGGGCUUUAUGAGACUCGUGAGCACCUAUGUUCCUUCUAGAGCAUAAACUUGCUAAGAGUUUGUUAGUUACAAGUAUAUAUAGUACCAGAGCUUAGAAUAGACUGGCACACAGUUGCCACUAACAUUACCAUGGUUCCUCAAAUGUAAGAUUCCUCGGAUUAUAAAAUGUACCUUACACAUAUGUAUCAUUAAGUACUGUAAGUUUUUAGAAAUAUUCUGAUGUUAGAUGCUAGAAUUAUUCUGAAGGCACACAAGGCCCAGGUUUUGGUGCUGUCUUCACACAUGUUCAAGACCAGAGUCAGGGUAUAGCUCUGUGGUGGCCAACUCUAGUCACACUGAAACUUUACACCCCAGACUUUAGUCUGCUCUGUUACAACCUCGACAGAAAACGACAACCUGCUAUGCAGGCCUAUCUCUUCAUCAAGGACUCCCUAGGAUUUUCCAUCCCUCAGACUCCCGCGGUUUAAAUACUAUGCUACUAAAUGAAAUCCUUCUGUUACUUUUUACCUUCUAUUGAUUACAUUUAUACUGUUCAGCCUGACUGAGGUGAUAUAAAUCCAGCUACAGCAAAAGCUUAUCUAUCCAGGCUGCAUGGACUCACUCCAGGAAAACAAGCAUUUCCAACAGGAAACCACUUUUAAAAACUAGUUAUUUAUUUGACAUACAAAGUACUAGGCUUCAUUAUGGCAUUUUUUUUUUGUUUGUUUGUUCCUUUUCUUCCCAAUUCUUGGGCAUACCCUGCACCCCUUGAACCCUCUGCUCCUAGUGGACACCUUUGCACCUCCAUGUCACGUGUGUUCUAUUGUCCUCUUUACCCUUCAGAGCUGCUUCCUCCGAGUUCAGGGCCUACUGACGUGAGCACUGUUAAGGAGUCUAGACAGCUCACCCACACUAUGUGUUAAGUCACUUGUUAUGCAACUCUUCAAAGUCAAGUGUCUAUAAAGUUCAGUUCUGGUGAACGGACAUAAUGUGGGUUCUUACUGGUUUUCCAACUGACAGCAAAACGAUGCAACUGGUUUCUCUGGGUUAAACUGGAACAAGGCAGUAAAAAGAAAAUGCCAUUUUGGGUUCUAGGUCAUUCAACCUCACUCUGAGUACAGGGGAGACGUCACUCAUUUUUGCCUGUACAGAGGCACACUGAAACUCCUUCCUAAAGUGAGCCUCGGACAUGCGGGUGGGAUAGAAGGAAACACGGACUAGCUCUGUUGUGUUCUCUGUGUAACUGUCCCUCAUCAGUCGGUUCUGCUUCAUUAAUCUGAGCCCAGCAGGACAUACUGAUACCAAGAUACACUGACAGUCACCUCAUCAGGCUUCACUCCUGGCAACCCUAUAUGAGGCAGCUAGUAGAUGGCCAUGUCACAACCCCUGCACAAACUGGGAGCUGGGCGGAAGCUUCUGUCCUCUGGAUUAUCAGCGGUCCUCUAGCCUGGCUCUAUAAUUUUUGUUACAAUUACUUGCGUCAUCAUUUGACUGACUAAGAGAAAGAGGUGUGGGAAUAGAAAGAGAAGGAAAUAAAAUAUAUCCAUAAAUCUGUUAGCAAAGCAUAGAAUAGCUGGAAGGGAAAGAGAUUUUAGCAUCAGUGGGGAUAAGGCCAGACUCCUCUAGAUUUGUGAUUUGAUCAAAAAAGUCUUAGUUGUUGCAGUAAAGAGCUUCAUCAAUGACAACUGGUAGCCUUCGGGCCAAAGCCCAUUAUCCUCCCGAUUUUUGUACAAAAGGGAAGAGCUAAGGCUCUGGACCAGGACCCAUUUUUUUUUCUGCCAGUGCUGGCAAAGGAGCUCAGAGCAUCUAACAAAAGCUUUGUGGUAUCAGGACUUGACUUUUAUUGGCUUUUGCUGACAGCUAGACUGGAACCAGAACUUUGGAAGUCUGAAAAAGGGUUUUCAUGAUUUCAUUUUAAUCAGUUAAUGUAAGACUGGCUUUGGUUUCCAGAUUAGCCUCACAGACAUCGAUUAUAGGUUAUCUUGUUGAUGGUUUUAAAAAUACAAUUGUGAGUAAAAGAUUUGAAACAGGGCUUUUCAAAAGCUCAGACCUCAUUGUCCUCUGUCCUUGGUUGGUGGGUUUUAUGUACUCCUGCAGACACAACACAAAUGCUUAUAUGUAUGAAUAAAAUAUAAGUGGCAUGGGAGUUUCUGACAAAUGAUUUAUUAAUGAAAUUUAUUAACUCUAAUAUUUCCUGCCAGAGAAACUUCCAUAUGUACAAAUCAGCAUCAAGUCUCCAGCAAAGACCUUUGGUUACAGGACUAUGCCCUCAGCACCACAGAACAAGCACUCACCCUAGCUGCAAAGGAAAAACAAGUCUUGAAAAAAACAAAAACCCCAACGCUCUUGAACCUGGCUUCUUUAUAGCAUCCGAGGAAAAUCCUUUUAUUCUACAUUUUCUUUCCUCUUGGCCAGCUUCUAAAAUAGCGCUGGGGAAAAAAGGACGAAAAAAACCGUUACUUAUAGGGAUGAUGUUUCAAAAGAGAAACUGGAAAUUAGUCUGCCUUAAAUAGAAAAUAGUUUUAGCCUAAAAGAUACUAGCAUUAAGUAACAUAAGAAAAACUUCAACUUCCAAAAUUGAAAAUGUAGACAACACAAGCCUAACAAGGGUUGGGAGUGAGAAGCUCACAGGUAAAUCUGCAGCAAACUCAGAUUUCUGGAUUUGUAACUUCCUCCAAGUGUGAUGGUAUCUGCUAGCCACCAAAGCAGUCUGGACAACACACAGACAGGAAGAGAAAGAUCUAGAAGCUGAGUGCAACCUUUCUUGAGUUUUCCCAAGAAAUCAAGUUGGAAAAAAAAAA